Molecule: long non-coding RNA, 577 nt
Organism: Triticum dicoccoides
Lineage: Eukaryota; Viridiplantae; Streptophyta; Magnoliopsida; Poales; Poaceae
Exons: 4
Source: RefSeq, a predicted model, not a curated record
AGCUUGGAGAAAGACAAGCCAGCAGAAAAUGAGGCGGACGAUUCCUUGUUUCAGGUAGCUGCCAGUUGGCAGCCUAAUUCAAGUUUAUUAGUAAAGGGGAAGGUGGGUUCCUCCAAGUCGUCUGCUGCUUUGGUGUGCAAUUCUUGGUGGAAACCCUUCUUAACAUUUAGCGCCACAGUCGAAAAUGAUCACCAGCAAGGCACUAGAUCAUACGGAGUUGGAUUCCGUGUCGAGGAUAUAUGAUCAGAAGCCAGUUACCAAGUAGCUGAUUCGGUUUAAACGAGGACUUUGAACCAGAUCUUGCGAGAGAGAAUGGGAAGAACCGCAUAUGUGCAUUGUCACAUUUACCAGCAGGGCUCAGAGCCUGCACAUAGGAUGUUUAUUUUGUGGUACCUCGGAUUUCGUAAAAGUUACUUGUCAAUAGAAAAUUUUAUUAAUUAUUAUGCUUCAUGUAUUAUUUUGCAUUUAGUUAACUCCGGGAGAUGAUAAUAUUAGAGGCACACAUCAUGCAGUGUUGCAAAAAUCAGCAAGUAUAAUAGCAUGUUGCUGAUGUUUCUGAUUGAUAGUUCAUCAACGA